Molecule: RNA transcript, 1385 nt
Organism: Alnus glutinosa
Lineage: Eukaryota; Viridiplantae; Streptophyta; Magnoliopsida; Fagales; Betulaceae
Gene name: probable ribosome-binding factor A, chloroplastic
Exons: 4
Source: RefSeq, a predicted model, not a curated record
UUCCCUCUUUCUCCUCUCGUCUCUGCAACUGCAAGGCCACUCUCAAUCCUCAUAUCCCCCAAAAGGGCAAAACCCAGUAAUUAAUUAAAACCCAAAAAGGAAAGAAAACGAAGAAGAGGGAAGAGGAGCUAGGAUUCAGUACAGCAAUGCCACACCUGCUCUUCAACGCCCAGCAGCCACCACCCACGCCACCCUUAUCCCAUCACCGCCGUCCACCGUUCCGCACCCAGAAUCCAACGGCGUGGAUUCACUCAGCAAGGCCCAUAAGCCUGCCUUCCUUGCAGCCCAAAAUUGGCUCUACGAUACGGUGCAUGGCGAACCCACGGAGAGUGAAGAUGGUGGCCAAGCAGAUACAAAGAGAGCUCUCCGACAUGCUCCUCACUGACAAGGUCUUGCAGUACGCUAUUCUCCCUGAAGUUUCUUUGGGAGCCGACCGGUACCUCUCGUCCCUCACCACCAUUAGUGAUGUUGAAGUCUCCGGCGAUUUGCAGGUGGUUAAGGUAUAUGUAUCUGUGUUUGGUGAUGAAAAAGGGAAGGAGCUUGCCAUUGCUGGUUUGAAGGCAAAAGCCAAGUAUGUCCGAAGCGAGUUGGGGAAGCGUAUGAAGUUGCGGCUAACUCCUGAGAUACGAUUUAUAGAAGAUGAGUCACUAGAGAGAGGAAGCAGGGUAAUUGCAAUAUUGGACAAGAUAAAGAAUGAGAAAAAGACCAAAGACAUCGAAGAUGAAGAGCAAUUUGAUUCACCUGUUGUGUCUCAAGAGGACGGAGAGUGGGAGGGUGAUGACCCAGAUGAAGACAUUAUAUACGUAAACUAGUCGCUCCUUAGUUGCUCGACAAUGAGGCCUUUGUGAACUGGAGUAUGGGCCGUAUGGCUAUACUUGUUCACAGGUUAGUUUAUCUUCAUGAAUUCAGAGUUAGCUUUCCUCAUACAAAAAGAUAGUCAAAUAUCUACAUAACAGUUGUUUUUUGGUGUAAUAUAGUGCAUUUGAAAUGUAGGAUUGCUGUAAUGAAACCAUUGAAUGGAUUAAAGAGGGUGAAGACUUCAGUCAUUCGCUAAGCUGGACAGAAGCAAUACACUGCAUGCAUCCCCGGCAUCUGAAUUACUUGACAUCAACCAUGUCAUUCCAUGUGAAAUUAACCCUUUGUUUUGCUGCUCAUAUGGAAUAGUUCGUGUUUUAUAUGAUCUUCUGAUUGACUUGUUUACAAUGAGUGCAAGCAUUUUGUUGCGAAGUGGUGUUCAUAGCAUAUGAAAGUUGACAGUACCCAUGUAAAAUGUUUGUCCCCGUCCUCCUAUGCCUUACACGGUUUGUUGCUAAUUUGUAAACUAAGAUUUAAAUUUCUGAUUGACUCAACUCAUUAAGUUGGGAUCAGAUACUCCUGAGCACUAA